GUUGGGUAGGGGAGCGUUCUGUAAGCCUGCGAAGGUGUACUGUGAGGUAUGCUGGAGGUAUCAGAAGUGCGAAUGCUGACAUAAGUAACGAUAAUGCGGGUGAAAAACCCGCACGCCGGAAGACCAAGGGUUCCUGUCCAACGUUAAUCGGGGCAGGGUGAGUCGACCCCUAAGGCGAGGCUGAAAAGCGUAGUCGAUGGGAAACGGGUUAAUAUUCCCGUACUGGUGGUAACUGCGAUGGGGGAACGGAGAAGGCUAGGUUGUCCGGGCGACGGUCGUCCCGGUUCAAGCAGGUAGGCAGAGUGAUUAGGCAAAUCCGGUCACUUAAUGCUGAGAUGUGAUGACGAACCACUAAGGUGGUGAAGCAAUUGAUGCCCCGCUUCCAGGAAAAGCCUCUAAGCUUCAGGUUACCAACAAUCGUACCCCAAACCGACACAGGUGGUCAGGUAGAGAAUACUCAGGCGCUUGAGAGAACUCGGGUGAAGGAACUAGGCAAAAUGGUGCCGUAACUUCGGGAGAAGGCACGCUGGCGGUAGGUAAAGUCCCUUGCGGACGGCGCUGAAGCCAGUCGAAGAUACCAGCUGGCUGCAACUGUU
This 596-nucleotide ribosomal RNA is filed under the name Staphylococcus sp. HMSC13A10. RNAcentral describes it as "bacterial LSU rRNA". It matches the Rfam family "Bacterial large subunit ribosomal RNA", at positions 1223 to 1804 of the family's 2925-position model. The record is from RNAcentral. Lineage: Bacteria; Bacillati; Bacillota; Bacilli; Caryophanales; Staphylococcaceae.